AUGUCUCCAAUCCAUUUAAUUUCCAUAUGUAUUACACAAGCAGCCAAAGUGGAACCAAAUUUGGAUUGGGCUCAGAGGACAAGUGGAAUGGAAAAUCCUGAUUCUUCAAGGCAAACUGCCCCCUCCAGAGCUGUGGAUGAGAAAGCAUGCAGGCCCUCCCAUGCUUCUACUUUUAAGGAGAGAAAAAUGCAUUUCCUGAUUCAAUUACAGAUCUGCUACCAUCCAUGUCACUUUGCCCUCAGAGAGUACAUUUGCACUAUUCCAUCUAAAGUGGCUGAAGAUUGAAACCUAAGUUGCCCAUCUUUUUAUCUUUAGCUUUCACAUCUUGUUUGACUUCUUGGUGCACUUGCAUUCCACAGGACUUUUUAUGAUUAAGGGGGUGAUUUAUCACACUUAUACUGUGCUUUGCUCUAGAGUACUCAAAGCAGUAUAGGUAAGGAUUCCAGGCAGCAUACUGAGACCAGUUUCAGCAGAACUACUUAUCAGUAGAACAUUCCUAGAGCUGAUGUGUAAUUAGUUGCUUGAGCAGCAGCCCACAUGCUGAGAUGAUAGAAGUUACAUCUGGGGACUAUAGCUACCAGAAACCCAUAAGCAGCAUGGACACUGCCAUCUUGGUGAUUGACUUCUGGAAACUGUUCCCAAAGUAAAUUUUCCUAGCUCUGUGCACAUCUUAAGUAAGGCAGCUUUGUACUUCUUGUGGCAAAGGAGAAGAUGGGCCCUCUCAGAUGAACAAGUACAGAUACCCACAAUUAUACUCCAAAUUGUAAAAUUUCCCCCAAUUCCUUGAAAUAAAGGAUUGGGAUGCGUGUGAUGGCUGGUAAGG
This 823-nucleotide long non-coding RNA is filed under the name Pogona vitticeps (central bearded dragon). RNAcentral describes it as "lncRNA (ENSPVIG00000016766.1)". Lineage: Eukaryota; Metazoa; Chordata; Lepidosauria; Squamata; Agamidae. The record is from RNAcentral.